UGUCUUUUUCUUAAUUAAGGAGGAUAUUUGUAAAAGAAGAAUAACAAAUUCAAGGAGACAAUCAAUAAAAUGGAUUGGUAAAUUAAACUAAUAUACGUUUGGUAAAUUAAACUUAAUUAAUUAAGGGUAUCUUCUUUUAUUCCACCAACUUCCUCCUCCCAACACUGUCCAAGAAAAAAAUAUAUGAUAGCCACAGAAAAAAGUUUCUGCUAGUUAAUGGAGGACUAAUAUAAUAAUACUACAUUUAAAUUUUUUCAGGAACACAUGUAUCCAAUUUAUACUUAGAAUCCAGAGUCCAGACAACAUAUAAAAUUAUAGCUAGCUGCACCAUUUCUCUAAACAAAUAUAAGUAAAAAAUUAGCAAAAUAUAUGACAGCAAAAAUAGUUAUUAGUACUUUAUAGUAUAGUUAAAAGCUUGUCAUACUUAAGCAGAAAAUUUUUGCAAGUAAUAUAUAAGGGAGACAAAUAACAAAGUAAAAUAUGCACUUCCUCGGGAAUGAAAAAAAUUGAUCUACUUUAAUUUGGUAUUUUGUCUUAAAUUCUUUAACUCCUUGAUACUCAAUUUUUGUGAAGCCUAGAAAAAUAAUAAACUUAAAACUAGAAGAACCAUGCCCAAUAAAAACAAAGAAAUGCAGACAUGCAUGCAAAGUUAUGCCUUUCAGCAAUUUUAUCCAAAUUCUUAAGAAAUGUGAGUUUAAUUAAUUUAAUUACUAAAUGAACUUAACUGCUUUAAUCAGAUCUUCGCAUGGAAAAAUCAAAAUUCCACUCCAACAAUUUUCAAUCUCAAAUCAAAACCAUUAAAAUAAGAUCAAGGUGACCAACACAAAAGAAGAAUAGAGAAAAAAAAAAAGGAACAACAACCUUGGCUUUUGCAAAUUGAUCCAAAUUAAUUAUUUUUAUAUAUACGAGGAAUAAGCUGCAAAACAUAUUAUCAAAUUAUUUACAUGUAGCAUGUUAACCAUUGAUUUUUUGUUUUACUUAUAUGUGUGUGUGUGAUAUCAAUAUCUUAAUUUUUCAAGAAACCAUAAAAUUUCUCCCAAAAGUUUGAUCAACCUUCCAUAUUCAGUCAUACAUAUGCAUAUUCAAUUUUGACGACUCAUUUAAUAAUUUAUAAAUCUAUAAAUUGGUCCAGGCCAGAAAUAUGUAUUUAGUGUGACAAAAAUUAGAUUUCAUCUUCUUAAACAAAGCUUCAUAUUUAAAUUUGAUGGACAAACAAAUAUAAUUAAAAGAAGAUAAAAAAAGCUAAAAGAUAUUUCACACAAAUAUCAUAUAAUUAUAACCUAUAAAACAAAACUGAUUCUCAGACCCAUGUGAUGUUACCAUUUUGGACCGAUCCAUGUUAGACGCCCCUUCAAUUAUUACGUAACGCAUUCAUGUUACACGCUCCCUGCAAUUAUCAGGUAACGCCAUUAAACGCACGGUCCCCUUAUGAACUUCACCAAGCAAAACUAUUACACAGUGUAUGGUAGCAACUACAAUUCUAAUCCUAAGCAGAAAUUAUGAAGGAAAAGCUAUAAUGGAAAUUUCUCAUGUAUUCAUUUCAAUUCUGGAUACAUAUUUAUAAGCAGCACAAGCUAAACGGUGUCUGUGUCCCACUGUGAGUGCACUGAGUUGUAACAUAAUUGAGCAAAUUGUUAUAACAGAUUUGGUUAAGGAAAUCUAGAAAUAUUCUUAUCCUUAUCCUUAUCCUAGUGCUGUCCCCUCAUACGUAAUCACAAAAGAUGAUUGGGCCUUUUGAUAUUCCUGCUUGGUCUAGUAUCAGCCCUCUUUGUAUUGCUAUCAGUGUAUGAAAUCGUUCGUGUAUGAGCAGAUGGGGAAGAGAAUGAUAGCACAACACCUAGAGGAGCAAUGCAAUAUACCCGCAGUGGCAGA
RNAcentral lists this long non-coding RNA (1872 nucleotides) under Glycine max (soybean). RNAcentral describes it as "long non-coding RNA (GMAX_LNC002045)". The record is from RNAcentral. Lineage: Eukaryota; Viridiplantae; Streptophyta; Magnoliopsida; Fabales; Fabaceae.